Molecule: long non-coding RNA, 1151 nt
Organism: Arachis duranensis
Lineage: Eukaryota; Viridiplantae; Streptophyta; Magnoliopsida; Fabales; Fabaceae
Exons: 3
Source: RefSeq, a predicted model, not a curated record
UUUCUCAAACCCUAGUUGCCAAUGCAAACCGCCACUCAUCCCCUUCAUACCACACCAAUAGAAGAAAGAAAGAAAAAAAAAAGUAAAGGGAAGAACACAGAGUAGAGGGCGUAGAGGAAGAAUGAGAAAGGGGGAAGAGGGAGGAGAGGAAGAUGGCGCCGGCCGGCAUCACUGCCGCCGCGCCGUCGUGUCACCAUCGAAGGAAGGAGGGAGCCGCGUGGGGAAACUUAGCCGAAGAGAGAGAGGAGACACGAGCAAGGGAAAAGGAGAAGAGGGAGGCCCCACUGCCAUCACCGUCGCGUUGUUGCCGCAGAGCCCAUCGUUGUCAUCGUUUCAUGCGCCAUCCUCGUGCCCAGCCUUGCCGCCAAGUCGCCGCACAGUCGCACCGAGGGAGAACGCUUGCGGGAAGAGAGAAGACGCCGCCAAGGAUCCCGUCGCCGUCAGAUCUAUCACGCCGCCAUUGAGGGAGCUCGUCACCGUCGUGCUUCCAUCAGCGCCAUGGAUCUGCUCCAUCGCCGAACUGAACUAUGGAUGAAGGGUCAGAACGCGACGGGAAAGGGAGACACCUUCCACCGCUGUCUUGCCGCCAGAGCCGUGUCACCAUCGUGAACCGCCGCCGUCUGGCUGUCGGAAGCCGCCGCUGAGCCUUUGCCUUCUUGGGUUGAGUUCCGAUGAUUUCAUAUCAAAAUUAAGGUUACCGAUGGACCACCGGAGUUUCUGGCCGCUGUCGGAGCUACCGCCGGGUCAGCUUGGGAUUGCGACUGCUUCGUUUUGCUGUUACCGAUUGAGUUAUCGGGAUUGCCUGUUGCGAUUAAAGCCAUUUCUGCUAUUGCGGAAGUGAACAGACCUGUGGUUGAAGCUGUAGUUGAUUUCGGGCUGAGAGAAGAGGUUCUUGUGACGCGUCUAGUUUAUGGGUUCAAUUUUUUGAGAUAGGGUUUUCCUUAAAAUUUAUUCUAUAUUGCAGAGUUGUUAUAAAUAGAUAUUGAUGUGAAACAAUAUAUUUUUGUGAUUAUGUUUGUCUCGUAGAUGUAAUUGUUUGCUGGAUUAAAUUACUGAUUGCUUGAGUGGUGUGCGUUGUUGAUAAGAAAUUGGUUUGUAAGGUUAUUGAGUUGAUUAUUAUGAGAAAUGAUUUUUAUUGGUUUUGGAAUUAA